Molecule: long non-coding RNA, 321 nt
Organism: Prionailurus viverrinus (fishing cat)
Lineage: Eukaryota; Metazoa; Chordata; Mammalia; Carnivora; Felidae
Exons: 3
Source: RefSeq, a predicted model, not a curated record
GAUCCCCCAUCGUGGGGUGAGGCCAUUCGAGGACAGAGCUUUGUCCUGGGACCUGCCGGUGCAGUGGGCAACCCGCCCAGUGGGAGGACACUGUCGAGGGAGCACAGCGCCCAGCAUGUGGUGGUGGUUCACGAAGGUGCACAGGGAGACCAUCCAGAAAGGAGCAUCAGGUGCAGUUACCUGGCUCUUGAAUUCGUGUUCUCAAGAUAGAUGGUCAGACAAUAUGAGGGAUCAGCUUCCGGGAGAAAUGGGGCCAACAGUAGAGUUUUCCAGAGGUGCCAGGAGCUUCUGAGGAGGCCUCCACUGACUCGGCGCUAUGAG